Benincasa hispida (wax gourd) is the source of this 601-nucleotide long non-coding RNA. RefSeq lists it as uncharacterized. The record is from RefSeq and is a predicted model, not a curated record. NCBI's taxonomy places the organism in Eukaryota, Viridiplantae, Streptophyta, Magnoliopsida, Cucurbitales, Cucurbitaceae.
UCCCCUUUUUUCUCUCCACCCACGUAAGUGUGGAAAGAGGGGUUCCUCUUCUUCAUCAUGCAAAACAAAAAAGGGUGAGAGAAAGAUACAUAAUAGUUUUGUAUUUUUGAGAUAUCUCAAAUCUCUCUCUUCCUCUCAAUCUCUUUCUUUCCCUCAAAAUCCAAAAUCACCAGAGUUCUCACUCCUCCUAGGUUCUCACUAGAGAAUACCGAGGUCUCUUUGCAGCAGUGCCCAUUUGGCCAUUUACAGUUCGUGACUGAUCGUGGGAAAGGAUUCGUAAAGUUUUGAGUUCUUCAAUGUGUCUUGAGAACAGUUAGAUAGAUUCUUCAAAGUCAUCACAACGGACACGGAAUCAGACACUGCUGAAUCACCAUUUUCAAACUUCCCCGAAUUGAGAAGUGAAGAGACCAAAGAAUCAAAGAUGAAGAAGAAAACUCACUCAAGUCAUUCUUCAUGCUCAUGGUACUUUUGAAUGAUUUGGAAUUUUAUGUAACAAACCAAUAGUUAUUAUUAAACUUGGACAUUUUAUUGAACUUGGAAUGAUUAUUAUUGAACUUUGUGUCUUUGAGUAGAGAUUUUGAACUUGAACAUUUGAAUUGAA